Molecule: long non-coding RNA, 2110 nt
Filed under: Marmota monax (woodchuck)
Lineage: Eukaryota; Metazoa; Chordata; Mammalia; Rodentia; Sciuridae
Source: RNAcentral
AUUCAAGGUUGUUCCCUAAGGACAAAUAAUAAUGUACUGAUAUAUUUAUAUGUUAAAAUGACAAAAACUUCUAAAAUAUUAAUUACAUUAUGUCUUAUUAAGUUUUAUCCCCUAAAACAAGUAAUCUUAGAGAAAUUAAGGUUUGUACAUCUGUGGCUAAACAACAACUGUUAUUUCAAAGUAUUGUCUUACAUUACAAAGUCUAGAUUUUCCUUUAAAAGCUAACCUUGGUUAAUAUAAAAACAUCAAUAAAAGUGUGGUACAUUACUCUUCUUUACAGAUUAAAUGUGUUCAUAUCUUUCAGGCAUAAAAGUCUUUAAAGUAAAAGGUUUAAAGAAACAUUUUAUUAAGGUGGUAUUCUCCAAACUAAAAUUGUCUGUAAUGGUAAUUUAAACUUUUAAAGAUAAUCAAUUUUAUUGGAGAUUUAUUUAUAUCAAUUGAUAUUUUGUAACCAAAUUUUAUGUUACCUUUUGCCCUAAAUUUAAAAAGUAAUGAGAGCCUAAUCUAUUUAAAGAUUAAUAUUAUAAAACAUUUUGCCACUUUUCCACAUGUAAAAAAAAUGUUAAGGGCUCUCAGCCUUUCCUUAAUUAAUGUUUCAGAUGUAUGUCGUAUUGUACUACUAACAUUCAUACAGAGUCAGGAAACAAUAUAUGUAAACUUUAUAAAAUGAUAUCUGAAAAGAGAGACAAAGAUCAGCUUUAAAAUUAAAACACUUUACUUAAGAUUUGUAAAGAGCCCUGCCUUAUCUGAGAUAAGGCUCUGCCUCCCACCUUACAACAUGUCAAAAUAACUUCAAAGUAGACGAGAUUUCAGUUAAUUUAAAGUUAUAUUCAAAGAUUAAUUUUAUUACAAAAAUUACUGUAAUUUCAAAUAAAAAAUAUAAUGUAUAACUCAGCCAAGGUUCAAAAUAAUAUACAAGCUAAAUAUGUUUUUACUAUUGUUAAUUUCACUUUGUAUUUUCAUUAUAACUAAAAAAAGUGACCACUACACUCAAAACAACCAAGAGACCUUUACUGUGACAAUGUCUGAUUAACACAAGAGAGAGAGAGAGAGAAAGUGAGGGGGGGGGGAGAGAGAGAGAGAGAGAGAGAGAGAGAGAAAAGUACGAGAGAGAGAAAGAAGAAAAAAAAGUGAGAGGGAGAAUGAGAGACAGGGAAAGUGAGAGAAAAAGGAGAGAGCAAGAGAGGAGGACCUGGCAAGAGAGAGUUUUUAUAGCCAAAAAUCUAAUGGGGUCUCUAGGUCUGCAAACUGCCUUGUUGGUGUACAGUGAUUGGAUCAUACAGUAGAUGCUAAGGUGUCAUCUUCUGCCUUCAGGCAGAUCUUCAGCAUUACGUAAAUUAAUAAAUAAAAUAAGGAUAUUGUGUUAUGUAAAAAUUAACUGUAAAGUUAUUAAGAUUAAAGUUAAAGCCCAGCAUUCUUACUUUAAAACUGGUAAAACUGACUUGCUGGAUGUUUAAGGCCAAAUUUAAAUAUUAAGGUUAAAAUAAAGGGUCCAAAGAAACCAAUAUUUGGCUCUUGCCCUCUAAGUCAGCCUGAACCCAGGAAAGGGAAAAAGCUUUGCAACUCCAGGCCACAUAACCUCCCGAUAAGGGAGAUUAAUGAGACCACUGGAGAAUAGAAAGCCAAUGAAUGUACAUGCUGCAAAAGAGGAGGGGUCAUUUAAAAAGGAGACAUGCCUGAUGCUUCCAAGGGAAGCCAUAUGGUCAGCAAGACCUUGACCCAUCCUAAUGCAGAUGACACUAACAGAGCUAAAAUGCUACUCACACAUUCCCCAAGAAUGUCCUCCAAGGAAACUCAGCUGAUUCUUACCAAUAGAUAGAAACAAGGUCAGUUUGACCAGCUUGGUCUUAAACACCUAGCAAAAACAGUUAAAACCAAAGCACAGCCAUUCCUGGACAUUUACAAAAAAAACAACAGUUAUUUUAAUGUAACUUUAAAUGUACACUAGUGUUAGCAUCCCCCAAAAUAAGUAAGACUGGAGACAACAGAAGAAAAAUUCUUAGGCAAAAAUGCCUGAUAACUAUCAAUAAAAAACUGCCAGAAGUUUUUAGUCAGUUUAAGGCCUACAGAUCUUCCUAACUUCCUACAUAGGUAGGUGUAAUCAAUGUUU